RNAcentral lists this ribosomal RNA (339 nucleotides) under Rhyopsocus sp. KY-2005. Its description in RNAcentral is "partial 12s rRNA". The record is from RNAcentral. Lineage: Eukaryota; Metazoa; Arthropoda; Insecta; Psocodea; Psoquillidae.
UUAGGUAGUAAAAAUUAAAUUUUUAAACUUAAAAAAGUUGACGGUAUUUUAUUUCUAUUUAGAGGAAUAUGUUUUUUUAAAAUGAUAAUCCACAAAUAUCUUAUUUGAUUUAUUUAAAUAAAAAUUUUGUAUAUCUCCGUCAUAAGAAUAAUUAGUAAAUUGUUUUUUCUAAAUUUAAUUUAAUAAAAAAUGUCAGGUCAAGGUGCAGGUUUAAUCAAGUAAAAAUGUAUUACAAUAAAGUUUAUUUUUGAAUUAUUAAAUUAAAUUUUAAUUUGAAAUUGGAUUUAAAAGUAAAUUAUAUUAAAUUAAAUUUAUUUGAAAUGGUUUUAAAAUAUGUAC